RNAcentral lists this ribosomal RNA (445 nucleotides) under uncultured Pilimelia sp. RNAcentral's name for it is "bacterial SSU rRNA". It matches the Rfam family "Bacterial small subunit ribosomal RNA", at positions 338 to 795 of the family's 1533-position model. Lineage: Bacteria; Bacillati; Actinomycetota; Actinomycetes; Micromonosporales; Micromonosporaceae. The record is from RNAcentral.
CCUACGGGAGGCAGCAGUGGGGAAUAUUGCACAAUGGGCGGAAGCCUGAUGCAGCGACGCCGCGUGAGGGAUGACGGCCUUCGGGUUGUAAACCUCUUUCAGCAGGGACGAAGCGUAAGUGACGGUACCUGCAGAAGAAGCGCCGGCCAACUACGUGCCAGCAGCCGCGGUAAGACGUAGGGCGCGAGCGUUGUCCGGAUUUAUUGGGCGUAAAGAGCUCGUAGGCGGCUUGUCGCGUCGACUGUGAAAACCCGCGGCUCAACUGCGGGCUUGCAGUCGAUACGGGCAGGCUAGAGUUCGGUAGGGGAGACUGGAAUUCCUGGUGUAGCGGUGAAAUGCGCAGAUAUCAGGAGGAACACCGGUGGCGAAGGCGGGUCUCUGGGCCGAUACUGACGCUGAGGAGCGAAAGCGUGGGGAGCGAACAGGAUUAGAUACCCUGGUAGUC